Molecule: ribosomal RNA, 369 nt
Filed under: uncultured bacterium
Lineage: Bacteria
Description: bacterial SSU rRNA
Rfam family: Bacterial small subunit ribosomal RNA
Source: RNAcentral
GUAGGGUGCAGGCGUUAAUCGGAAUUACUGGGCGUAAAGCGUGCGCAGGCGGUUUGUUAAGACAGGUGUGAAAUCCCCGGGCUUAACCUGGGAACUGCGCUUGUUACUGGCAGACUCGAGUGUGGCAGAGGGGGGUGGAAUUCCAGGUGUAGCAGUGAAAUGCGUAGAGAUCUGGAGGAACACCGAUGGCGAAGGCAGCCCCCUGGGCUAACACUGACGCUCAUGCACGAAAGCGUGGGGAGCAAACAGGAUUAGAUACCCUGGUAGUCCACGCCCUAAACUAUGUCAACUGGUUGUCGGGGAAGCAAUUCCUUGGUAACGAAGCUAACGCGUGAAGUUGACCGCCUGGGGAGUACGGCCGCAAGGUUA